GUCGGUGACGUUAGGUCGAGGGACACACCUGAUCCCAUCCCGAACUCAGAAGUAAAGUCUCGGCCUCCGAUGAUACUGCAACGCGGGAAAGUAGGUCAUUGCCGACU
This 107-nucleotide ribosomal RNA is filed under the name Planctomycetota bacterium. Lineage: Bacteria; Pseudomonadati; Planctomycetota. The record is from RNAcentral.